This 460-nucleotide ribosomal RNA is filed under the name uncultured bacterium. Its description in RNAcentral is "partial 16S ribosomal RNA". It matches the Rfam family "Bacterial small subunit ribosomal RNA", at positions 338 to 795 of the family's 1533-position model. The record is from RNAcentral.
CCUACGGGAGGCUGCAGUGAGGAAUAUUGGUCAAUGGGCGCGAGCCUGAACCAGCCAAGUAGCGUGAGGGAUGAAGGUUCUAUGGAUCGUAAACUUCUUUUAUAAGGGAAUAAAGUGUGGGAAGUGUGCCUUUUUGUAUGUACUUUAUGAAUAAGGAUCGGCUAACUCCGUGCCAGCAGCCGCGGUAAUACGGAGGAUCCGAGCGUUAUCCGGAUUUAUUGGGUUUAAAGGGAGCGUAGGUGGGCUGUUAAGUCAGCGGUGAAAGUCUGUGGCUCAACCAUAAAAUUGCCGUUGAGACUGGUGGGCUUGAGUAUAGUUGAGGCAGGCGGAAUGCGUGGUGUAGCGGUGAAAUGCUUAGAUAUCACGCAGAACCCCGAUUGCGAAGGCAGCCUACUAAGCCGUGACUGACACUGAUGCUCGAAAGCGUGGGUAUCAAACAGGAUUAGAUACCCGAGUAGUC